GAAAGUGAGACUCGUCAGACCAUUCUUUUUUCCCAGCUGCACUACUUCAUGGUUGCGUCGCUUGAAAUAGGUUGCUCCGGGCCAGCAAAGAUAUCUGGGUGAGCUUUGACGAAAAUUCGGUGACGUUGAAAGUGAUAGCGAAAGCGCACGGCCGUUGCUGAUGCCCAAGCACGCUGAAGAAGCUACAUUUAGCGCUGCCCGGAUUGAACUCGGUUUGUCUAGCUCUUGGCCCAGUACUAGGCCUGGUUCUCUUGAGCGCGAGUGCACACGCGACUGCAUUCCAGUGCUUUGGUUUUCUGUGGUGUUGGGUGGUAUUAGCAGAACUAUCUAAAACGUAGAGAACGAAUAGGCACGAAAAGGAGACGGACAACAAAAGCUGCUGUGUGUCCCCAUCGUUAUGUCUAGUCGUUCCAGGGCUCUAGGUUUUCCGAGAAUCCAUUAACAACCAGCCCAUCUCUCCAUCCUGAUGGACUCUUGCAUCGGCGGAUGCCAGACACUGUUAUCUUGAGGGGACAUGGUCAUUGGUGCUUUCAGCAAUACACAUCUUGAAUGCUGCUGCUUGAUGAAACCGCGAAGAACGAGGCGUGAAAUGGCAUGCGAUAUGUCGACAAGUUGGUGCGAUGCAGCACGAAAGCAACUCCGACUCAGUAAAAGGAACAGCGCCCUCGCAGCUACCAGGCGUCUCACAAUGCUGGCAUGGUGAAGAGGGUUGCCGGUGACCUUGCAGGCGUCGUAACUCGAUGGUGCACAACAUGAGGCCGAUCAGAAACCGUCCGCCCGAACACACUCCUCGUCUUUUAAGGCCCUCCACCAUUGCUUACCUCCUGACUUUCUCAUGCUUGUG
Dermacentor albipictus is the source of this 844-nucleotide non-coding RNA. The record is from RefSeq and is a predicted model, not a curated record. Lineage: Eukaryota; Metazoa; Arthropoda; Arachnida; Ixodida; Ixodidae.